RNAcentral lists this long non-coding RNA (14645 nucleotides) under Spirodela polyrhiza (greater duckweed). RNAcentral describes it as "long non-coding RNA (SPOL_LNC001653)". The record is from RNAcentral. Lineage: Eukaryota; Viridiplantae; Streptophyta; Magnoliopsida; Alismatales; Araceae.
CGUGGUACGCCCUCAUUUUAACUUUCCAUUAUCUUUCACGAGUCUUAUUGGAUUUGAACACAAAAUGGAGAUGAGGAUAAAGAGUAUAAUCUCAAGGCUGGAGAAGAUCUCCAAAGAGAAGGCCGAGCUGCGCUUGACGCCCACCGACGAUGAUUUCUCAACGACAGUCAACAGCUUUCAGACAUCAUCUCUAUUCGAUCCAGAAUUCAAAGGUCCUACGCUAAAAUUACAGUUAAAAAAAAUACUGGGACGACUUCAGGGAGAUGAGAACAAGGGCAAGCUGAUAGCAAUCACGGGGAUGGGGGGAAUCGGAAAGACUACUCUAGCUAAAGCUAUAUUCAACGAUGGUUUCAUCAAAGCAAGUUUUCGCAUGAAGAUUUGGAUCUGCGUUUCCAAGUACUUCAACCAUAUUAAGAUUUUGAAAGAGAUGAUAGCACACGCAGGUGGGGACCCCCGGGUUAGUGACAGUAAGGAACAACUGGCCUUGAUCCUAGGCAGCCUUAUCAAAGACAGGAAAAUUUUUCUUGUUCUGGAUGAUGUCUGGACGGCAGAGGUGUGGGAAGAUCUACUCCGAGGACCCUUGCAACGCAGUGACGCUGGCACCAUGGUGUUGAUAACGACUCGUCGCGAUACCCUGGCAAGGCAGAUGGGGGCUUGCACGUUCAUCCUGCCGUGAGAAUGUCCGGUGCUGAAAGCUUCCGCUUGUUAUACAAGAUGGUUUUCGGAAAUGGGGAGAAAGAACAGUGGGGAGCUCUUCAAGAUGUCGGCGUUAAAAUUGCCGAGAGAUGCAAGGGCGUCCCUUUAGCAAUAAAGACGAUCGGAGGAGUUCUGCGAUGCAAGGAUAGAAACAUACAAGAGUGGGAGGAGAUACUCGAAGAUCCAAUAUGGUCUACAUCCAUCUUCCCAGACGAGGAGGAAACUGUUAUGAAACCUUUGUAUUUGUCUUACAGGGAUCUCCCCUCUAGCAUCAAGCAGUGUUUUUUAUACCUCUCGUUAUUUCCCGAGGACUUCGUGUUUGCCCGUCCCAGUGUCGUGCAGUACUGGGCAGCUGAGGGUUUCCUAAAAUCAGAGGGCACUUUCACCGUUGAAGAGGUUGGAACAAAACAUUUCGAUGAGCUGGCAGGUAGGGGUCUACUGCAGCCACAGGUGGCACCGAUAGAGGGGGCCCUGUGCAAGAUGCACGACAUUGUGCGUUCUCUCUGUCAGUAUCUAGCGGAAGGCGAAUGCCGCUUCGGCGAGAUGCCGAGACCACAAGGCAGGUCCGGAAAGCUCCGUCGGCUGUCAAUGAUGGACUGUGACUUUGCCAUAGACAUCCAUCUCUUGAAAAGAGAACAACGCCUGAGGACACUGCUUAUUCGUAGCAACCCAUACGGAGGGGCAGUUCUGAAACAUGAUGUUGUUGAAGCUCUUACUUAUCUGAGAGUUUUAGAUAUCAGUGAGACACCCAUUGUGGAACUGCCACGCUUCAUCACAAAACUUUUACAUCUGAGGUACCUCAACGUCUCUGGGACUGCCAUUGGGGCGUUGCCAGAUUCGAUUGGUGACUUGAAAAGCCUGGAGUUCCUCUUACUGAAGAAAUGCAAGAACAUCUCGUCUCUUCCAGAUGGCAUUACGCAGUUGCGAAAUCUGAGGUGCCUCGAGAUGACUGAGGGUCCUGCAAUCGAUCAGCUGCCACAGGGAAUCGGCGGACUGCAUCAGCUGCGAGCUCUGAAGGAUUUUGUCGUGGACAAGCGGGAAGGGACUCUUCAAGAAUUAGAACCUCUUUUACAUUUGAGAUCGCUGGUGAUCACCAAAUUGGAGAGGGUGAUAGACAGAACGAAAGCCAGAAGUGCCCUCCUCGAAAAUAAAACCUCCAUGAUUUACAUAUCCUUCGAGUGGACCUUCCCCCCCGUGGAUACUCCGACUGAUGACCAAAUAAAGAACAUGUCCUAUACCUUUGAUGAGCUAUGUCCCUCACCCUCCCUUGAGAUGCUCAACGUCGUUGGAUACCUUGGCCUCAGACUCCCCUGUUGGAUGUGGCCUUCGCCGUCAUCUGGCGUCUCUCCCAUCCAUAGUGUCACAAUUAUAACUAUGAGCAAUUGCAUGUGCCUCUCUCAGCUUCCUCCACUCGGACUUCUCCCUCAUCUAAAGACCCUCUGGAUCAAGGGCUGCUUCCAGCUCGUAAGCAUCGGAACCGAGCUCGCAAACCCUGCUACUUCCCCGCAUCCAUCUUCUUCUACUGCAACUGGUGGCACAACUGCUGUUCUGUUCCCCAAGCUGGAAACCUUUGCUCUUGUAGAAAUGCCUAACCUUGAAACAUGGUCCUGGAAAACAGACAACGGAACCAGCAUGCUGGCUUUUCCUUCACUCAAAGUUCUGUACCUAGACGGCUGCCCCAAAUUGAGAUGCGUCCCUGAUAUCUCUUGGAGACGGCUCGAGCACAUAUUCGUCCACAAUUGCCCUUCAAUUCUGGAGGUUGGUGGCGUUACUGCUCCGGAAUUAUUGUCUGUAAGAGAUGACAGCUCGGAGGACGUCCCGCCAUGGUUAGAUCAGGUCUGUGUCAAUCCCACGGAUGAGGUAUCAAUCCUUUUCCUCCAUGUCAGGUUGAACCUGCUCAAGAAAAUUUUACAACAGAGAGAGGCGGAUGUCAACAACCCAGAUGCCGGCUGGAAUGUCGUUAAACGAUUUCCUCGUGCUUGCGUUGUCGCAACAGACAAUGAAGAAAUGUUUUUCACCUACACCCAACAUGAAUCAUUAUUCGAGACCAACGUGCAGCUCGCUUAAGAUGAGGGCAUCUGUUGAGGCAGAGAUAAAGCAGAACGGGCAGUCCAUUGUGAAUAACAGGCAGAUCCCUCGGAUGAGGCAUCGGUACUUCUCCUCAAGGUCAAGUUGAGUCUGCUCAGAAAGGCGGCUUGCAUAUUGUCGGCUACAUCGGUAUUCUCUAAGCUGGUGGAGAAGAUCGCUCCUGUAGUCACUGAGCUACGCCCCCCACCCUCUGUAGGGAUCCCUGGCAUCGUUGUCUACAUCGGACUCGCUCUCCCUCCUUCGACGUUGUCCUCCACGACCACUGCGGUCUCUCAUAUUCAUCACCUGAUUGACUCAUUGUUUACCAAGAGUUUUGAUAAGUCUCAAUUCCUCCCAUGAUUGGGACUGCUUUUUCGUCACAGGAUCGUGGGAAGCAUCGCUCCUGAGCAGGUAUUGGGCCCAUCUCUUUCUACACGCCAUUCCUCGUCCUUCCCCUCUUCUUCUUAUUCCACUUUAACCCGUGGUUAUAUAUGACCGCUCUGUGUCCUAAUUUGUAACCUUUCUCUCUCAUAAAUAUGCCAAACCUGGAGACGUGUGGCACUGGAACGCAGUACUAUAGCAACUGCGGAGGUUCUCCCCGUCUCCGAGAUGUACCCUAGAGAGGAGUCUAGUCACCUAUUGGGACGCCUGCGACAAUGGAGACAUGGCUCAAGAGAACUGCGUCCGAAGCUCCCUUCGCGAGAUUAAGCUUCGCCAGGAAACCGUCCGUCAGGCCUGUCCAAGGAUCCACGCCGAAGAUGGAGGGACAGAGAUCCCACACAACCGACGCUUUCGUCUCUUUCCCCGUAGACGCCUCCGUUACCGUGGUUCUCGAGUCAGUCAAGAUUUUGUGAUCCGCUACUCGCCUAAUGGCAAGGAUUCCAUUAAUGACGUCGUCGAGCCCGCACGUCAAAUCAGCCGAUUCCUUUCCGCAUGUGAAAAUGAAUUGGCAACUACUCCACGUCUGGCAUCAGUCCGCAAAAAGCGGAUAGAUCUCGUCGUCAUUGCGUUUCUAACACGUAAAUUAACUCCCGAAUGUGGCCAGAGUCGUUUCCCGAGGUUGACCUUCUUUACAUCCUUAGACCAUCUCAAAGCUGGCUCUCCGAAAGCAGAGCAUGUCCUAAAUGUUGCCAGAGCCAACGUAUCAGUCAACGUCAAUCCUUUGAACUGAGACCCAUGAGAGAGUGAGCGGGUCCUCCCUUGAACGUUCGGACGGUGUCACAAUUUCAUGACAGCUCAAGAGCGGUAUUUUAUUUUGAUACGUUCGAAAUCGAUCUCCCAAGUUUCUGUGGGCGUCCAACGCGCCCAAAGAUGUUGACCAAUGCAGAAACCUUCACUCGCUUUCGACGAAUCAGAACAAUUCGAGUAGGUCUCUUCAUCCCCUACCUUCGCAGCUUCGAGCUGGAACCCUGUUCGACGCGCAUCUCUCCGUCUCUCUCUCUCUCUAUCUAAAUUGCUAUCCUCCCUCUGUAACCCUUUUCUUUCUUCAGCACUCGCCACCAAAUCUGAUCCCGCGAUUAGAUUAGGAUAUGGCAGCGCCGCUGCUUUCGCUCGUCUCUUUAUUCCUAGAGAAGCUUAGCAAUUUGAAACGCGAGGAAGUGACGUUGAGCAGCUUACGGUCCGCACUGGAGAAGCUCGAGGAGAAGAUCAAGGAGAUCAGACACUUCGUCCCCGACGCAGAGACCCAGGCCUUCACCAGCGAGUACGCCCGCCUCUUGCUGAAUGUGCUGAAAGACGCGGUGUACGACGCAGAUGACAUCCUCGACGACUACGCGACCGCCGGGGAAAUGGUGUCGGUACAGCCGGAAACGUCCUCCUCGAACAACGUGGUGCGCCCUCGUUUUUCCUCUUCAUUACCUGUCAGAAGUCAUACUGAAUUUGAACAUAAAAUGGAGAUGAGGAUAAAGAGCAUAAUCUCAAGGUUGGAGAAGAUCUCCAAAGAGAAGGCCGAGCUGCGCUUGACGCCCACCGAUGAUGAUUUCUCAGCGAUAGGCAACAACUUUCAGACAUCAUCUCUAGUCGAUCCAGAUAUUACUUCGUCUGCACUUGAAUUAAAAUUAAAAAAAUUACUGAGUCAGCUUGUGGGGGAUGAGAACGAGGGCAAGCUGAUAGCGAUCACGGGGAUGGGGGGAAUCGGAAAGACUACUCUUGCUAAAGUUAUAUUCAAUGAUGGAUUCAUCGAAGCCAGUUUUCGCAUGAAGAUUUGGAUCUGCGUUUCAAAGUACUUUAACCAUGUCAAGAUUUUGAAAGAAAUCAUAGCGCAUGCAGAUGGGAACCCCCGGGUUAGUGACAGUAAGGAACAGCUGGCCUUGAUCCUAAGCAGCCUCAUUAAAGACAAGAAAAUUUUUCUGGUUCUGGAUGACGUCUGGACGACAGAGGUAUGGAAAGAUCUACUCCAAGGGCCCUUGCAAGGCGCCGCUGCUGGCAGCAGGGUGAUAAUAACGACUCGAUUCGAGUCCGUGGCGAACCAGGUGGGGGCGUCGCUCAUUCACCAUGCCCAAAGAAUGACUGGUUUGGAGGGCUUCCACUUGUUAUACAAGAUGGCGUUCAGAAACGGGGAGCAAGAGCAGUGGGAAGCCCUGCAAGAUGUCGGCAUUAAAAUUGCCGAGCGAUGCAAGGGCGUCCCUUUAGCAAUAAAGACGAUCGGAGGGGUUCUGAGACGCAAGGAUAAGAACGUACGAGAGUGGGAGGAAAUACUCGAAGAUCCGAUAUGGUCUGCAUCCAUCUUCCCAGACGAGGAGGAAAGCAUUAUGAAGCCUUUGUAUUUGUCUUACAGGGAUCUGCCCGCAAGCAUCAAGCAGUGUUUUCUGUACCUCUCGCUGUUCCCCGAGGACUUCGUGUUCGUGCGUCCCAGAGUUGUCUCAUACUGGGUUGCGGAGGGUUUCCUGAAACCAGAGGGCACUUUGACCAUGGAAGACGUAGGAACGAGGUAUUUCGAUGAGCUGACCAGUAGAGGUCUUCUGCAACCACAGCUCUCAGCGAUAGAGGGGGCUCUGUGCAAGAUGCACGACAUUGUGCGUUCUCUCUGUCAGUAUCUAGCGGAAGGCGAAUGCCUCUUCGGCGAGAUGCCGAGACCGCAAGGCAGGUCCGGAAAGCUCCGCCGGCUGUCAAUGGUGGACUGUGAUUUUGCCAUAGACAUCCAUCUUUUGAAAAGAGAACAACGCCUGAGGACACUCCUUAUUCGUAGCAACCCAUGCGGAGGGGUAGUUCUGAAACAGGAUGUUGUUGAAGCUCUUACCUAUCUGAGAGUUUUAGAUGUCAGUGAUACGCCCAUUGAGGAACUGCCGCACUUCAUCACGAGGCUUCGACACCUGAGGUACCUCAACGUCUCUGGGACUCCCAUUGGGGCGUUGCCAGAGUCGAUAGGCGACAUGAAAAGCCUUCAAUUCCUAUUCUUGAAGAACUGCCGAAACAUCUCGUCUCUUCCAGAUGGCAUAACGAAGUUGAGAAAUCUGAGAUCCCUUCAGGUGAAUGAAGGAACUGACAUCGACCAGUUGCCAAGGGGAAUCGGCAGACUGCAUCAGCUGCAAGGUCUGAAUGAGUUUGUUGUGGACAAGCAGGAGGGAAGUCUGCGAGAUUUGGGGCCUCUUUCAAACUUGAGACUGCUGGUGAUCACCAAAUUGGAGAGAGUCUCAGAAAGAACGCAAGCCAGAAGUGCUUUCCUCGAGAAUAAAACCUCAAUAAACUACAUAAGCUUCGAGUGGUCCUUCCCUCCUGUGGAAACUACGACUGCUGACCGGAUAAUGAACAUGCCUGAUAUAUUUGAUGAGCUAUGCCCCUCACCCUCCCUGCAGAUUCUCAACGUCGAGGGAUACCUUGGUCUCACCCUCCCUCGUUGGAUGUGGCCCUCGUCGUCGUCUGGCGUCUCUCCCAUCCAAAAUCUCACUCAUCUAACAAUGACCAGGUGCAUGAAUUUCUCUCAGAUUCCUCCGCUCGGACUUCUCCCUCAUCUGAAGGUUCUCGGGCUCGAUUAUUGUCCCCAGCUCGUAAGCAUCGGAACCGAGCUCGCAAGCCCAUCUGUUUCUCCACAUCAAUCUUCCUCAACCUCUUCUUCCACUGCAACUGGUGGCCCACCUGCUAUUCUGUUCCCCAAGCUGGAAUCUUUCUCUCUCGUAGAGAUGUCAAACCUUGAAACAUGGUCCUGGAAAACAGACAACAGAACCAGCAUGCUGGCUUUUCCUUCACUCAAAGUUCUGUACCUAGACGGCUGCCCCAAAUUGAGAUGCGUCCCUGAUAUCUCUUGGAGACGGCUCGAGCACAUAUUCGUCUACAAUUGCCCUUCAAUUCUGGAGGUCGGUGGCGUUACUGCUCCGGAAUCAUUGUCUGUAAGAGAUGACAGCUCGGAGGACGUCCCGCCAUGGUUAGAUCAGGUCUGUGUCAAUCCCACGGAUGAGGUGUCAAUCCUUUUCCUCCAUGUCAGGUUGAACCUGCUCAAGAAAAUUUUACAACAGAGAGAGGCGGAUGUCAACAACCCAGAUGCCGGCUGGAAUGUCGUCAAACGAUUCCCUCGCGCUUACGUUGUCGCAAGGGAUGAUGAAACUAUGUUCUUCUCCUACACCAAACACAAAUCACUAUUCCACACCAGCGUGCGGCUCGCCUAAGGUGAGGGCAUCUAUUGGGGCAGCAGUAAAGCAGAAUGGAUAGGACACUGCGAAUGAGAAGCCGUUCCCAUUGAUGAGGCGUCGUUCCUUCUCAAUGCCAGGUUGAGUCUGCACAGGAAGGUGGCUACAUCGGUGUUUGCUACGCUGGUGGAAUAAUGGGGAUCAAAGAAGUGGGCAAGCACCUCCACAUCACCAGCACAUCGGCCCAAGUCCAUUACGCCAUAACUUUCUUCUUUAGCUAUUUCCUUUUCUAAUCAUCCAAGUGGUUAUCAAUAACUUUGUGUUGCCCUAAGGACGAUUAGACAGAGGUGAACGAAGUUUUGAGGUUUACCUCGUAUUGCUCCGCAAGGAGAGGCCGAGGGGGUCAGCUACCCAUCGCCACCGCCGCCACCCCCCGUCACACAGUCACCGCCAUUCGCCGGCUGCCCCUUAUCGCCCGUCGCCGUCACCGCCCGCUGCCACCGAUCCCCCGUCGCCACUGUCGCCGUCACCAUCUGCUGCCAUCCUCUGCCCCGUCACUGUCGCCGCCGUCCGCCAUCACCAUCCGCUGCCGCGGCCAGCAUCCCUACCUCCGCCUCCGGUUAUGCCCCCGGUUCGUAGCAUCAUGAACCGCUGCACUGACCCGGUUCCACCCGGCCAGACCGCCCACAUCUGUCCGGCCCAACCCAGCUCGAACCCCUCGGUCCGAGCAAACUUGCCGCCCGUCCGAGCCACUGUGGAGCAUUUGGUUCGAGUCGGUUCGCCUCGCCGGGUUCGAGCCAUUCGGAUAAUCUGGUCCACGCCAGCCGCCUCAUCUGGUUCAAACCAGUCUCCCUCCCCCCCCCCCUUCCACCCCAAAAGACCAGGUUAGCAGGGUCAACAGUCAACGUUCAACUUGAUGCAAGAAUGAACGAGCUUUCAAUCAGUUUCCUUCAAAAUUAUCUGUUGACAUCGGAAGAACUUCUAAGAAAAGAAAAAACACACGUAGCAUUGACUAUGCACAAGGGUGGGGAGAGGCAAAACAAAAACAUUUGGGGGAGAUGACAAACCGACCAAAACACCAUCAGUUAAGAGAGAGAAGAGAGAGAGAGAGAGAGAGAGAGAGAGNNNNNNNNNNNNNNNNNNNNNNNNNNNNNNNNNNNNNNNNNNNNNNNNNNNNNNNNNNNNNNNNNNNNNNNNNNNNNNNNNNNNNNNNNNNNNNNNNNNNNNNNNNNNNNNNNNNNNNNNNNNNNNNNNNNNNNNNNNNNNNNNNNNNNNNNNNNNNNNNNNNNNNNNNNNNNNNNNNNNNNNNNNNNNNNNNNNNNNNNNNNNNNNNNNNNNNNNNNNNNNNNNNNNNNNNNNNNNNNNNNNNNNNNNNNNNNNNNNNNNNNNNNNNNNNNNNNNNNNNNNNNNNNNNNNNNNNNNNNNNNNNNNNNNNNNNNNNNNNNNNNNNNNNNNNNNNNNNNNNNNNNNNNNNNNNNNNNNNNNNNNNNNNNNNNNNNNNNNNNNNNNNNNNNNNNNNNNNNNNNNNNNNNNNNNNNNNNNNNNNNNNNNNNNNNNNNNNNNNNNNNNNNNNNNNNNNNNNNNNNNNNNNNNNNNNNNNNNNNNNNNNNNNNNNNNNNNNNNNNNNNNNNNNNNNNNNNNNNNNNNNNNNNNNNNNNNNNNNNNNNNNNNNNNNNNNNNNNNNNNNNNNNNNNNNNNNNNNNNNNNNNNNNAGAGAGAGAAGAGAGAGAGAGAGAGAGAGAGAGAGAGAACCUGCCCCUACCAGGAGGGAAGAGGACAACAUCUCAUAUUUUCUGCAGAUCUAUUUUUUUUGGAAAAAAAGAAUCAAAUCAUGAGUUUUUCUUGGUUAUCACAGUCUGACCUUAUUUUCAUGAAAUUGUUUGAUGACAUCAUUCAGUUAGCAGAAUGUUGUUAGAAGAAAUAGUUCAAGAAGCUCGAAACUCAACUGCUUCAAGUGAACUGACGACUGCACCCAAGAAGCCAAGACUCAACAGCUAGGAGGAAAAACAAUGACCACAUUUGGGGCCAUAUUCAGAGAGCAAUAUAAAGGCUGAUCUAGUAAACUCACUUGAAGAAAGUAAUAAACAUCUUCGGCACAUUAUUAAUGCUCCUUCCUGCCAAUAAACCCAACAAGCACUGCAGGGGCAUUUUCUACAUGAAACAACAAUGCUUGUUCAAUAGUCAACAUUGACCUGACAGACCAAAUGGUUACAAUUUCUCUAGGGUUUUCUUCAUUAAGCUUUUGUUCACAGAAAAAUAAACGAAAAUUUCCCCUCGCAGAUUAUUAGCUCAUGGACAAAUUCAACACAAUGGCCAGCUUCUUGUCAUUUUGCAUCUAUCAACAAGGUUUCAUCACUAACUAGCUCAUCCUUUGGGGUUGGAGCAAAAGUUGGGCAUCUUCGACUUAGAUGCUUGGUGAUGAAGAUACCAUCAGGAAAAAGUAUCUAGAAAAAUGACAUGAAAUAAGUGAGAAGUUGCAUUGUACUUCAAGGGAGAAAAAUGGUCAAAGCUUCUUAAUUUGGUUAAAUUACGAUCUUCCACCAGACCUCAAUCUUUUUUGUAUAUCGCUUGCAAUUCUACACUACUGACUUCAUGUCUGUAAGGUGAAACAAAGUGGACCAGAUCCUUCAAAGUAUUGAAACAAGUCGCACUUUACUUGGUACAUGUGAAGCCAACAAUAAGACAAUAAAUAAAUACAAAGAAUACAUUGAGUACAACUAGAGAUCUAUUUGACAUGAUUAUUUAUUUAUUCAGGAAGAUAGAAGAAAAAACAAAAAUUAUGGAAGAAAUCAUGACUAGGUUGUUAUCUAACCAUUAAUUAAGAAAAUAAUUUUCAUUUGCAUAUUAUGAAGAUGUGUUGUGUCUAAAUCUGUAAGUCAAUAAAUCUCUAGUGUCAGAAUUUCACUAGCAUGAGUAUGAUUUUAACAUGGUGAGCCCAAGUAAGAUGUUAAUACCUCCAAGGGGGUUGAUCCAAUGUGUAGAUCUUGAUUGACAAUACAUGAUUAGAGCUUUAUUAUGAAUAGAUGGAUAUAAUGCAGACAUGCUCAACAUGUUGAAUUGCAGAAAUCAUUAUUGAUCAUAUUCUCAGAUGUUGAAUUUUUUCAAUUAGCCAAUCAUCAAAAGCAUUUCCCAUUCCUAAUUGUAUGACAAUUUAGCAAUACAAAACAUCUCCUAUAACAAACAUAAAAAAAAUUUUAAACAAGAAAAAAGUCAUGAAUCUAUUUGAUUCACAUCAAAAGUAGGAAGAACAAAAGCAAUGUGCUUACUAUAUAGCACACUAAUAUUUGAAGGAAUCCAUCAUAUUAUUAGAACAAGAGUUAGAAAAGUGCAGAAUAUAACACAAAAAUUAAAAGAAAAGGUACAUUUUUGUUCUUAUCUAAUAAAAAAAACUAUUUAGAUGAAUGCAUAUUGUAACUAGAAAACUUAAGUCACCCCGAUUGGAAUAAUUGGGUCAUUGUUAGUUUCAAGAGCUAAGAAGGAUGGUUCUUGUUUCCCAUCAGCACCUUCAAUUGGAACUUUCACAUACUUUCCAUUUUUUAUGGAAGGAUUGAUCUAUUUAAGCCUCUUACCCAAAUCAUUCUCUGAUUUACCCAAUAGUAGGUUCUUAGCUAUCCUAACAUUAGAGCAAAUUGUUGAUCAAAGGCUAAAUCCACUUCAUUUACAUGGUCCGUGUAACAAAGUCCAAAUAUCAUUUUGCACAUGUUGGGGCAUAUUGAGAAUGAGCAUACAUUGGUUAAUGUAGAAAUAAACAUCUUACAUAUUGCAAAGUGAUUUAUAGUUUAAUGGCCUGAUAACUGAUACCAAUAAUCUAAAAAUGUUGUUGUGUCACUUAAGUUCAUGUAUUGUUGACUGUGAUUAUAAUCAUUAGCAACAUCAUCUUUGCACGAUGAUGAUAGACUCUACCAAACAACUCUUCUUCAAUUCUAAUAAUAUUAUGAUGCACUCCUAUCAAAUAAUUAAUAAGAUAUUGGUAUUGAUUUCUGAACCCAACUUCUAACAAGCAGUAACUCAAAUAAUUUUCAGAGGAUUUAUUAUUUCAUUCUUCAUAUGUCAAUAAUGAGAGAUUAAGUUAUUUUGUGAAUAAAUAGAUACAUAUUUUAAUUUCCUAAUUUCAAAAAUAAUAUAAUUAGCUCAGAAUACUUCUUAAAAAAUUUGAACCAUUUUUCUUUUUGAAGUUAUCUUCUAUAAAAAUCCUCAUUUGACUUAUAAUAACAGAAACAUGUGAAAAAAGUUUUGAAUUGAUUCAUCAGAUUUAAUACACAAUGUCUCAAAAUCUCUUCAAAAUGUUUGAAGUUUUACCAUUGUGACUUGGUUGUCACCUUGAAAAUGUUGAUUUAAGAUUCUCCAUGCCUUCAUAGAAGUUCUAACAUUGGUAACUAUUAGAAAAAUUACUGAUGUAAUAGCCUGCUGCAGCACAUGAAGAGUCUUUACAUCCCUCUUGUGAAAUUAAUUUAAUUAUUAUUUCUCACUCUCUCUUCUAAAAAAUCUUUCUCAACGAGAUCCCAUAAAAUCUUGUGAAAUGAAAAUAGUCAUCAUCUUGAUACUCCAAAACUCAUAAUUUUCUCUAUUAAAAAUGAUACAAAAUAUUGAAAAGUAUUGAAAACUUGAUCAUUAUUCGACAUUUUUGAUAGAAUAAAUUUUACUCUUUAAUAUGUGGGUCCUCUAAACUCGUUUUAUAUAUCUCUUGUUAUAGUAAUAAUCUACAUCAAUAUAUAAAAUAAGAUCCUUCAAAAAACAUGAUUUUCAUAUAUACUAACUUCAGCUAAUCUAAGUAGUAAUAGACACCCAAUUUGUGUUGAAACCUAGUUCUAAUACUAUGUUGAAAACAUAGGCUAAAAAAAAGAGAAAUAAUGGUGUCAAAAAUCGUAGAAAUAAUGAUGAUGAGAGAGCGAAAGAAUGUAAAAGGUCGGAUGUCGUGAGCCAUAAUUCAAGGAUAGAGCGAAAAUCAACUUUUCUAAUUAACCAUUAAAAAAGGAAUAAACCGCCCUUAUAAAAGUGGCGGAAGGCGAAGAGAAAAACAAGGAUACGAAAGCAAAUAUGAAAAUUUAUAGGUGUUAGAACAAAAAUGGGUCAGCCAACAUUGGUAAAAAAUGACGGCCGCAUUCUCGAGCGAAGCAUCAAUCUUCAACAGAAGCCACACUCUCUCUCAUCGAGAAAGAAAAGCCCCCACCACGAACUAGCCACCCACUUCCCCGAAAGAAAGCUGGUUUCCAUUUAAUAGGACGUUAUCCUAGACUUGGAGGGCGUUGACCAAACCCCAGCAAGCGGACGCUAUCUCGUAGAUGUACAGUAUAGGUGAAGACGCGUGGAUGUACAGUAUCAGUGCAGAACACGUCCUUAGUGGCGGGGGCUGAACGGGCGCUGAACACCCCCAUUGCCCAAGAGCUUUAAUUGUAUCUCGUCGCAGAAGCAAUCCUCAAUUGGGGAUAAUUAAGAAUGAAGAGAGUCCACAAGGAUCCAUUCCCUUUCAGGAAACCAUCGUCUAUAGCAGCUCCUUUAUCUACUGCAGAAUACCGGCGGAGUUUUGUCGAUUUACGUCCUCAGUGCUGCGAUGCAUCCGAAGAAUUUCUGGCCUUCCAAUCGCAGCUGAGAAGCGACCGCUGGAGGUCGUCAAUCUUCUAUUGAGCACCGUCGACGAGUGUAUUCCCCUGUCCGGAGAGGCUCCUACGAAUCAGCUCCUUGAUGCUCUUUUAUUGUCUUCCAGGGUUUAUAACCCGCUUCUUCAACAAAACCCUUUAUUGGUGUUGACUAAGUUGUCGCCGAGUCUCACAACCCCUCCGAUAGCCAUCGUCGCCUGAGAGACGUCCACACCUGUCUCAACGAUUUUAACACCCACAUCAAGAAGAGACGCCAACGCCUCUCCAGGUUUUUCAGGCGAGUAGUCAUCAACGCCUAUUUUGUGCCCUGAGAGCCUAUUUCGAUGGUUCAUGGAAUUCGUUUUCUGAUGUAAAUCCGAAGAAAAUGGUAUCGUAUAGCAAAUGCCAAAUUCGUUUAAACCAUGCCAAUGAGAAACGCAUGGAUAACCACGCACGCUUUCCGCCUCCCAGCGCACUCUGCGGAUUACUGGCGAUAUGCGACAUUCACCGACUGCCAGGCCGCGCCUAACUAGCAGCGUCCGCCCCCACCGCAGAUAUGUAUUCAGCCGAUUCCUUUCCACACUAGAAAAUGUAUCACUCCGCAAGGAGCGGAUAGAUCUUGUCGUAAAUGGGUUUCUAUCACGUUCAUUUACUCCCAAAUGUGGGCAGGCUCGCGUGGUGAGGUUGACAUUAGUAACCGACGCACCUCAAUCUUAAUUGUCUGGUUCACCGAACUUUGACCAUGUGAGAUGGAGUGAGUCUUCCCUUUGAACUUUUGGAUGGUAUCACAAUGUCAUGAAAGUUCAAACGCGGUCUGUCGUCUACACAUCCGAAAUCGAUCUCCCCAGCUUACUUGGCAGUCCAAUGCGACGAAAGAAGUUGACCAACACAACCGUUCACACACUUUCGAAAAUUUGGAUCAGCUUGAGGGGGUUAUUCCUCCACCUUCCCAGAUUCGAGCUGGAGUUCCAGCCGACGCACCUCUCCCUCUCUUUCUCUCCCCUCUCUAUCUCUCUGCAUCUGUGAGCGCCCAAAGCGCCGUAUAAAGUUGACAAACACAAAAAAUUUCACACGCUUUCGAUGGCUUGAUCAGAUCGAGUUGGUUUAUUCAUUAUCCACCCUCCCAGCUUCAAAGCCGGUAUCCCGUUCGACGCGCACCCCUCUCUUCUGAUCCACCAUCUGUUACCCUUUUUCUCUCUUCAGCGUUGGCCACCACAUCUACACCCCCAAUUGGACUACGAUAUGGCGGUGUCGCUGUUUUCGCUUGUCUCCUUAUUCCUAGAAAAGCUCAACAAUUUCCAACACCAGGAAGUGGUGCUCAGCGGGUUACAGUCCGCGCUGGAGGAGCUCGAGGAGAGGAUCAAGGAGAUCAGACACUUUGUCCCCGACGCAGAGACACAGGCCUUCAGUAGCGCGUACACCCGCCUCUGGCUAAAAGCGCUGAAAGACGUGGUGUACGACGCAGAUGACAUCCUAGACGACUGCGCGAUCGCCAGAGAAACGGUGUCGGGACAGCCGGAAACGUCCUCCUCAACCAACGCGGUACGCCCUCAUUGUAACUUUCCAUUAUCUUUCACGAGUCUUAUUGGAUUUGAACACAAAAUGGAGAUGAGGAUAAAGAGUAUAAACUCAAGGCUGGAAAAGAUCUCCAAAGAGAAGGCCGAGCUACACCUGACGCCCACCGAUGAUGAUUUCUCAACGACAGUCAACAGCUUUCAGACAUCAUCUCUAUUCGAUCCAGAAA